GAUGAACGCUGGCGGCGUGCUUAACACAUGCAAGUCGAACGGGAAUUCUUUUAUUGAAACUUCGGUCGAUUUCAUUUAAUUCUAGUGGCGGACGGGUGAGUAACGCGUGGGUAACCUGCCUUAUACAGGGGGAUAACAGUCAGAAUUGGCUGCUAAUACCGCAUAAGCGCACAGAGCUGCAUGGCUCAGUGUGAAAAACUCCGGUGGUAUAAGAUGGACCCGCGUUGGAUUAGCUGGUUGGUGGGGUAACGGCCCACCAAGGCGACGAUCCAUAGCCGGCCUGAGAGGGUGAACGGACACAUUGGGACUGAGACACGGCCCAGACUCCUACGGGAGGCAGCAGUGGGGAAUAUUGCACAAUGGGGGAAACCCUGAUGCAGCGACGCCGCGUGAAGGAAGAAGUAUCUCGGUAUGUAAACUUCUAUCAGCAGGGAAGAUAGUGACGGUACCUGACUAAGAAGCCCCGGCUAACUACGUG
This 478-nucleotide ribosomal RNA is filed under the name uncultured bacterium. RNAcentral describes it as "partial 16S ribosomal RNA". It matches the Rfam family "Bacterial small subunit ribosomal RNA", at positions 28 to 507 of the family's 1533-position model. The record is from RNAcentral.